This 345-nucleotide long non-coding RNA is filed under the name Bos taurus (domestic cattle). RNAcentral's name for it is "long non-coding RNA NONBTAT025073". The record is from RNAcentral. Lineage: Eukaryota; Metazoa; Chordata; Mammalia; Artiodactyla; Bovidae.
CUGCAAGCCCAUUGCUCAGUUACAGGCUAGAGUGAGUUGAAGCAAAGUUGUAGCGCUCAGAAAGUGAGCAGCUGGGUUCUGCACCCAGAAAGGAAAGGUACGCCACUUAAGGGGUGUGUGAGUCUUUUGAGACCAUUUUGAAAAAUCAUAGAAUAUAGAAAAUCCUACAUUAACGAGAAUCCAUGAGUGUACAAAGAACAAAGCUGUAGACCCCAGGAGAAUCCUAAUGUAUACAAGGUAGGAAGAGAACACCAGUCCUAAGAAAACCGUAAUUUAGUCCCGUGAAUGGUUUCUGGUCUUCUCCCGUGACACUUUAUGGUAUCUUGAAACAAUGCUGGGUUUCCC